This 253-nucleotide ribosomal RNA is filed under the name uncultured bacterium. RNAcentral describes it as "partial 16S ribosomal RNA". It matches the Rfam family "Bacterial small subunit ribosomal RNA", at positions 524 to 776 of the family's 1533-position model. The record is from RNAcentral.
UACGAAGGGUGCAAACGUUGCUCGGAAUCAUUGGGCGUAAAGCGCACGUAGGCGGCUCCGCAAGUCGGAUGUGAAAUCCCUCGGCUCAACCGAGGACGUGCAUCCGAAACUGCAGAGCUUGAGUAUGGAAGAGGGUCGCGGAAUCCCCGGUGUAGAGGUGAAAUUCGUAGAUAUCGGGGGGAACACCAGUGGCGAAGGCGGCGACCUGGGCCAAUACUGACGCUCAGGGACGAAAGCUAGGGGAGCGAACGGG